This is a non-coding RNA of Acanthosepion pharaonis, 109 nucleotides long. The record is from the annotation of a GenBank genome assembly. Lineage: Eukaryota; Metazoa; Mollusca; Cephalopoda; Sepiida; Sepiidae.
GUCGAUAGCAUGUUGAAACAUCAGUUCCCUUAUGAUCACCGAUAUUAAGCAACGUCGAGCCUGGUUAAUACUUAGAUGGGUAACCUCUUGGGUAUACCAGGUACUGUAA